GAUGAACGCUGACAGAAUGCUUAACACAUGCAAGUCUACUUGAUUCUACUUCGGUAGUUGAUGGUGGCGGACGGGUGAGUAACGCGUAAAGAAUCUGCCCUUUAGUUUGGGAUAACCUUUGGAAACGAAGGCUAAUACCGGAUAUUAUGGAGACGUCGCAUGGCGACUCCAUGAAAGCUAUAUGCGCUAGAGGAGGACUUUGCGUCCCAUUAGUUAGUUGGUGAGGUAAUGGCUCACCAAGACCGCGAUGAGUAGCCGGCCUGAGAGGGUGAUCGGCCACAAGGGAACUGAGACACGGUCCUUACUCCUACGGGAGGCAGCAGUUGGGAAUAUUGGACAAUGGGCCACAAGCCUGAUCCAGCAAUUCUGUGUGCACGAUGAAGGUCUUCGGAUUGUAAAGUGCUUUCAGUAGGGAAGAAAAAAAUGACGGUACCUACAGAAGAAGCGACGGCUAAAUAUGUGCCAGCAGCCGCAGUAA
RNAcentral lists this ribosomal RNA (478 nucleotides) under uncultured bacterium. RNAcentral describes it as "partial 16S ribosomal RNA". It matches the Rfam family "Bacterial small subunit ribosomal RNA", at positions 28 to 523 of the family's 1533-position model. The record is from RNAcentral.